This 442-nucleotide ribosomal RNA is filed under the name uncultured bacterium. RNAcentral describes it as "partial 16S ribosomal RNA". It matches the Rfam family "Bacterial small subunit ribosomal RNA", at positions 338 to 795 of the family's 1533-position model. The record is from RNAcentral.
CCUACGGGAGGCUGCAGUGGGGAAUAUUGGGCAAUGGGCGCAAGCCUGACCCAGCAACGCCGCGUGAAGGAAGAAGGCUUUCGGGUUGUAAACUUCUUUUUACAGGGUAGUGCAGAAGACGGUACCUGUUGAAUAAGCCACGGCUAACGACGUGCCAGCAGCUGCGGUAAUACGUGGGUGGCAAGCGUUGUCCGGAUUUACUGGGUGAAAAGGGCGUGUAGCCGGGCUGACAAGUCAGAUGUGAAAUCCGGGGGCUCAACCACAGAACUGCAUUUGAAACUGUUGGUCUUGAGUAUCGGAGAGGCAGGCGGAAUUCGUAGUGUAGCGGUGAAAUGCGUAGAUAUUAGGAGGAACACCAGUGGCGAAGGCGGCCUGCUGGACGACAACUGACGGUGAGGCGCGAAAGCGUGGGGAGCAAACAGGAUUAGAUACCCGUGUAGUC